This 490-nucleotide ribosomal RNA is filed under the name uncultured bacterium. Its description in RNAcentral is "partial 16S ribosomal RNA". It matches the Rfam family "Bacterial small subunit ribosomal RNA", at positions 30 to 507 of the family's 1533-position model. The record is from RNAcentral.
AUUGAACGCUGGCGGCAGGCCUAACACAUGCAAGUCGAACGGUAACAGGAAGCAGCUUGCUGCUUCGCUGACGAGUGGCGGACGGGUGGGUAAUGUCUGGGAAACUGCCUGAUGGAGGGGGAUAACUACUGGAAACGGUAGCUAAUACCGCAUAACGUCGCAAGACCAAAGAGGGGGACCUUAGGGCCUCUUGCCAUCGGAUGUGCCCAGAUGGGAUUAGCUAGUAGGUGGGGUAACGGCUCACCUAGGCGACGAUCCCUAGCUGGUCUGAGAGGAUGACCAGCCACACUGGAACUGAGACACGGUCCAGACUCCUACGGGAGGCAGCAGUGGGGAAUAUUGCACAAUGGGCGCAAGCCUGAUGCAGCCAUGCCGCGUGGAUGAAGAAGGCCUUCGGGUUGUAAAGUACUUUCAGCGGGGAGGAAGGGAGUAAAGUUAAUACCUUUGCUCAUUGACGUUACCCGCAGAAGAAGCACCGGCUAACUCCGUG